UGGGGAAUAUUGCACAAUGGGCGCAAGCCUGAUGCAGCCAUGCCGCGUGUGUGAAGAAGGCCUUCGGGUUGUAAAGCACUUUCAGCGGGGAGGAAGGCGAUAAGGUUAAUAACCUUGUCGAUUGACGUUACCCGCAGAAGAAGCACCGGCUAACUCCGUGCCAGCAGCCGCGGUAAUACGGAGGGUGCAAGCGUUAAUCGGAAUUACUGGGCGUAAAGCGCACGCAGGCGGUCUGUCAAGUCGGAUGUGAAAUCCCCGGGCUCAACCUGGGAACUGUAUUCGAAACUGGCAGACUAGAGUCUUGUAGAGCGGGGUAGAAUUCCUGGUUUAGCGCUGAAAUGCGUAGAGAUCUGGGGGAAUACCGGUGGCGAGGGCGGCCCCCGGGACUAAGACUGACGCUCAGGUGCGAAAGCGUGGGGAGCAAACAGG
This 429-nucleotide ribosomal RNA is filed under the name Chloroflexota bacterium. Its description in RNAcentral is "Chloroflexi bacterium partial 16S ribosomal RNA". It matches the Rfam family "Bacterial small subunit ribosomal RNA", at positions 355 to 776 of the family's 1533-position model. The record is from RNAcentral. Lineage: Bacteria; Bacillati; Chloroflexota.